AGCUCCAAUAGCGUAUAUUAAAGUUGCUGCAGUUAAAAAGCUCGUAGUUGCAUUUCCGAGGCAAGGGAUUAGUCCGACCUUUGGUGGGUAUUUAAUCCUCUUGCCUCGUCCUUGAGUGGUGCUUCUUGGUAUUAAGUUAUCGAGGAGAUAGCCGCUCAUCGUUUACUGUGAGAAAAUUAGAGUGUUCAAAGCAGGCUUAUGCCGUUGAAUAUAUUAGCAUGGAAUAAUAAGAUAGGACCUCGGUACUAUUUUGUUGGUUUGAGAACCAAGGUAAUGAUGAAUAGGGACAGUUGGGGGUAUUCGUAUUCAGUUGUCAGAGGUGAAAUUCUUAGAUUUACGGAAGACGAACUACUGCGAAAGCAUACCAAGGAUGUUUUCA
Molecule: ribosomal RNA, 379 nt
Filed under: uncultured marine Chaetocerotaceae
Lineage: Eukaryota; Bacillariophyta; Thalassiosirophyceae; Chaetocerotales; Chaetocerotaceae
Description: SSU rRNA
Rfam family: Eukaryotic small subunit ribosomal RNA
Source: RNAcentral